Molecule: ribosomal RNA, 651 nt
Filed under: Salmonella enterica
Lineage: Bacteria; Pseudomonadati; Pseudomonadota; Gammaproteobacteria; Enterobacterales; Enterobacteriaceae
Description: partial 23S ribosomal RNA
Rfam family: Bacterial large subunit ribosomal RNA
Source: RNAcentral
GGGUUGUGAGGUUAAGCGACUAAGCGUACACGGUGGAUGCCCUGGCAGUCAGAGGCGAUGAAGGACGUGCUAAUCUGCGAUAAGCGCCGGUAAGGUGAUAUGAACCGUUAUAACCGGCGAUUUCCGAAUGGGGAAACCCAGUGUGACUCGUCACACUAUCAUUAACUGAAUCCAUAGGUUAAUGAGGCGAACCGGGGGAACUGAAACAUCUAAGUACCCCGAGGAAAAGAAAUCAACCGAGAUUCCCCCAGUAGCGGCGAGCGAACGGGGAUGAGCCCAGAGCCUGAAUCAGCAUGUGUGUUAGUGGAAGCGUCUGGAAAGGCGCGCGAUACAGGGUGACAGCCCCGUACACAAAAGCGCAUAUGCUGUGAGCUCGAUGAGUAGGGCGGGACACGUGGUAUCCUGUCUGAAUAUGGGGGGACCAUCCUCCAAGGCUAAAUACUCCUGACUGACCGAUAGUGAACCAGUACCGUGAGGGAAAGGCGAAAAGAACCCCGGCGAGGGGAGUGAAAAAGAACCUGAAACCGUGUACGUACAAGCAGUGGGAGCCCCACCACUAAGCCAGUGGUGAACUCCACAUACGCAUCCUUUGCUGAGGAUGCGGUUAACGGAGCGAAAGCGACGUUCAACCGCAAAAGAAGCAGAGGGGGC